RNAcentral lists this ribosomal RNA (497 nucleotides) under uncultured bacterium. RNAcentral describes it as "partial 16S ribosomal RNA". It matches the Rfam family "Bacterial small subunit ribosomal RNA", at positions 28 to 507 of the family's 1533-position model. The record is from RNAcentral.
GAUGAGCGCUGGCGGCGUGCCUAAUACAUGCAAGUCGAGCGAACGGACGAGAAGCUUGCUUCUCUGAUGUUAGCGGCGGACGGGUGAGUAAUACGUGGAUAACCUACCUAUAAGACUGGGAUAACUUCGGGAAACCGGAGCUAAUACCGGAUAAUAUUUUGAACCGCAGGGUUCAAAAGUGAAAGACGUUCUUGCUGUCACUUAUAGAGGGAUCCGCGCUGCUUUAGCUAGUUGGUAAGGUAACGGCUUACCAAGGCAACGAUGCAUAGCCGACCUGAGAGGGUGAUCCGCCACACUGGAACUGAGAACCGGUCCAGACUCCUACGGGAGGCAGCAGUAGGGAAUCUUUCGAAAUGGGGGAAAGGCUGACGGAGCAACGCCGCGUGGGUGAUGAAGGUUUUCGGAUCGUAAAACUCUGUUAUUAGGGAAGAACAUAUGUGUAAGUAACUGUGCACAUCUUGACGGUACCUAAUCAGAAAGCCACGGCUAACUACGUG